AUUUUUGCUGUUUCCAUGGUAACGGCGGCCAUUUUGAAUAUUCCAAAGUCAAACCCCCGCUGCAAUUUUUUGCCCUCCAUAAUCAUAUACCAUUUAAUGUCUCUAGAAUAAAUUUAACAUUGAUGUUCUGGAAUGUUCUGUGAAAAUUCAAAGUUUUGACCUUUUUGCAUUGUUUCCAAGGUAACAACAGAUAUUUUGGAAAUUCCAACGCCAAAUUCCACAUCUUCCAAUGUUGCUCAUCGUUACUGUGAAGUUUCCUGAAGUUUGGAGCAUUUUGAGAAUUUCGAAAUUUUUGGUGUAGUUUCCAUGGCAACAUAGUAGUUCCAAUGAUCACCAAAAUCAUCCAACACCUGUAUAUAGUGGGCACCUACAUUGUAUUAAAAUAUAAUGAUUCUGAGAUAAAGCAUAUCCAAACAGUUCACCAAAACAAAAAACUGGAUUUUUUCACAUUUGUUCUGUUUCCAUGGAAACGGUAGCCAUCUUGAACCAUUCCAUGCUUCCUGCAACUCUGCACCUGGGGGUCCUUACUAUAGUAGAGUUCCAUCAACAUUGGUCCAUUGGAUUUCGAGAAAUCACCUGGACAAAAUUUGUUGCAAGAAAAAUAAUAAUAAUAAUAAGAAAAAAAAGAAACGUAGAAUAACAAUACGUCACCCCAACUCCGUUGAGGGUGCCAUAAUAAAAAGAAAAGAAAAGUCACCCCAACUCCGAAAAAAAAAAACGUAGAAAUAACAAUAUGUCACCCAACUCCGUUGAGGGUGCCAUAAUGAUACGCGAAGCGAAUUAAAGGUUUUUUCUUUCAUGAAUUCAACGGAAAAGAUACGUGUAUUGGUUGAUUGAAGGUUUGUGAUCAUGAUUGAUCAAUCAAUCAAUUGAUCGAUCGUUUGAUUGAUUGAUUGAUCGAAUGAUUGACAGUUCGUAAAAAUAGCGA
Molecule: long non-coding RNA, 928 nt
Filed under: Mytilus galloprovincialis (Mediterranean mussel)
Lineage: Eukaryota; Metazoa; Mollusca; Bivalvia; Mytilida; Mytilidae
Source: RNAcentral